GGGAGCAUAGCUCAGUUGGUUUAGAGCAUCUGCCUUACAAGCAGAGGGUCGGGGGUUCGACUCCCUCUGCUCCCACCA
RNAcentral lists this transfer RNA (78 nucleotides) under Bacteroidales bacterium. RNAcentral's name for it is "tRNA-Val". It matches the Rfam family "tRNA". From Rfam's summary of the family: Transfer RNA (tRNA) molecules are approximately 80 nucleotides in length. The record is from RNAcentral. RNAcentral also lists the same sequence under 2 other names. Lineage: Bacteria; Pseudomonadati; Bacteroidota; Bacteroidia; Bacteroidales.